RNAcentral lists this long non-coding RNA (755 nucleotides) under Elaeis guineensis (African oil palm). Its description in RNAcentral is "long non-coding RNA (EGUI_LNC023598)". Lineage: Eukaryota; Viridiplantae; Streptophyta; Magnoliopsida; Arecales; Arecaceae. The record is from RNAcentral.
AUGCGCAUCUACCUCCGAUGGUGUCGAUCUCUCUCAAAUCCGGGCACGCCUCCCUUCAGCGCCGCCAACCUCCCCUGGAUCUGAGUAGUGGGCCGACCACACGCGCUCGUGGGCGCGAUUCACUCGCGCUUCACCUCUAAAGCCACCAAAGGGGCCCCCAACUUCGUCGAUCUUGCCCAGCUUCGGGCUUCUGAGUUCGGCAAUGCCGAGGAGCUCAUCCACGACCCAGCUCCGACCUCCACAUUUGCUGUCACCAUUGGUUUCUCCUGAUUUCGACCGUCCGAACCCCUCAAAGCUUUUUAGUGUUGAGAUCGCCUCCAAUGCAACCGAAGCCACCCACGGCAGCUCCCAAGUCCCUGUGCGGCGCUCUGCUUCCUUCCACAAUAAAGUCACCUGUGGGAAGCUUCAGUGUCCCUGUGCAUGCGUGCCUUCUACGGUGUCAUGACCGCCCCUAGAUGACAUCGAGGUCCCUUUCGAUGACACCGAAGGCGCCAUGUCCCUCAAUGACGCCGAACUUGUCCGGCAUCAAUGAGUCUGCCUGCGAACAAAUCUUGAGCCCCUCUUCUUUUUCAUCGAAAUCCACCCAGUUACCAAAGUCAAAGAAAUCCUCUCCAUUUCUCAAAGUCACCCAUUGCCAAUGGAUGACAUCGGGCGCCACCUCCUUUGUCGUCGAAGAGAAAUCUGGUGGACCCCAACAUCGACACUUCCUUAGCUUCCCAACCUCCGGUAAGUUGUCGCCCUUCUCUUGUGCACCC